Molecule: ribosomal RNA, 253 nt
Filed under: uncultured bacterium
Lineage: Bacteria
Description: partial 16S ribosomal RNA
Rfam family: Bacterial small subunit ribosomal RNA
Source: RNAcentral
UACGGAGGGUGCGAGCGUUAAUCGGAAUUACUGGGCGUAAAGCGUGCGCAGGCGGUUAUGUAAGACAGAGGUGAAAUCCCCGGGCUCAACCUGGGAACUGCCUUUGUGACUGCAUGACUAGGGUACGGCAGAGGGGGAUGGAAUUCCGCGUGUAGCAGUGAAAUGCGUAGAUAUGCGGAGGAACACCGAUGGCGAAGGCAAUCCCCUGGGCCUGUACUGACGCUCAUGCAAGAAAGCGUGGGGAGCAAACAGG